Molecule: long non-coding RNA, 1638 nt
Filed under: Canis lupus familiaris (dog)
Lineage: Eukaryota; Metazoa; Chordata; Mammalia; Carnivora; Canidae
Description: lncRNA (ENSCAFG00030015523.1)
Source: RNAcentral
AUGAUGGGGGCGCCCACGUCAGCCCAAGGGCUCAGCGCGCUGGCCCGGAAGUGGCGUUACGAGGGGCGGAGCCUGGGACGGCGGACUACAACUCCCGACAUGCCCCGCGGAACGUCGAGGGACGAAUCUUGCCACACCUCUUGGCGGAUGGAUAACGGGGCGGGGAGCCGAAGCCUUUGUUCAGUAAAUUCUAUUGGCGGACUCGUUCGAGGUCCGCUGCCAAGGCUUUUCCGUGUGUUCCUCGCCGCGGCUUGGAACUCUCUCCACGGCCCCGUACCCGAGGCGACGCGCCCCGAUCGGCACCUGCGGCCACGGUCAGCGCCCGCUCUGCGCGGGGCGUGCGGAGGGCGCUCCGCGGCCAGGUGGCCUCGCUGUCCCCGCUGCCCCUGUCGCUCCUGCUGCUGCUGCUGCUCCUGCUGCCUGAACCCGGACCCGAGCUCUGACGACCCGGGCUCGCCUAUCAGACCGGGUCCCCUUCUGAGAGGGGGUGGCUCGCUUUGUUGUGUGCCAGGCGCUGCGCAGACCGUGGAAAUACCGUGGUGAGGAAGAACCAGACUCAUCCCAGUUCCUGCCUUCGUGGAGCCAGCAGUUUAUGGGAGGCGGGGGUGUGUGUGGGGGGGGGGCAGCUGUUAAUUAAAGGAUUCCCACGCAUUGCAUGUGAACUGAUAACCCAUUAGAUAAACCAUGGCCAGGGCGUGCAAAGAGAAGUACAUGAUAUGAGGGAGUUAAAGAAGUGGCGAGUGGGCUACACAAUCCAAAGGAUCGGUGUUAAUUGGGGGAACUAAAGUUCAGCACAGUGAAGCACUCGCAUGAAGUAAAACAGGUCCUGUGGCUGGAGAGAGCCUGAUUUGAGAACUGAAAGAAGACAAAUGGAGCCCAGGUGCCGGGGAGUGUGGUUCCCAUGGUGACAAAUGUGGGUGCUGGCAGACCUUGUGAGCCAUGUAAAGAAUCGCAGCCCUUGGAACAGCACAGGAAGCCCUUGUGGUUGGGCAACGGGAUGGAGCUUUGAAACAAGCUGCAAAUGAAAGUAGUGCAUCCCCAGCUAACUAAAUUUGCUUUAAAACAGACUCGAUCAGAGGAAGAGGUGGAAUGGGAAAAAAAUGAGAAGAUCUUCUUAUGCUUUAGUUUAUUUUUUUUUUUUAAGAUUUUAUUUAUUCAUGAGAAACACAUAGAAAGAGGCAGAGACACAGGCAGAGGGAGAAGCAAGCUUCCUGCAAGGAGCCCGAGGUGGGACUGGAUCCUGGGACUCCAGGAUCAUGCCCUGAGCUGAAGGCAGACGCUCAACCGCUGAGUCACCCAGGCGUCCCUAUGCUUUAGUUUAAAGGGAAUCUUCACUUGCUCCUUUGAUAUUACACAUUAGCAAUGAUUGAUGCUCAGAUGAGCCACAGUUCCAAAUAGGCAAGCGUCUUUAGUGUCACAAAUUCAAGGCAAAAGGUUCUUACCUUGGAUUAUAAACUGGGGAGCAUAAACCAAUGUUUGUUUUAUUCAAUGUGUGCCCAGUGCUUGGAUCUAGUUGGUACUUAAAAAAUACUGUGGGGGUGCUUGAGUGGCUCAAUUGGUUAAGUUUCCCAGUCUUGAUCUUAGGGUCCUGAGUUCAAUUCCCCCCACUUUAUUCCUAUAAUAUACAUAUAAUAUUUC